GACGAACGCUGGCGGCGUGCUUAACACAUGCAAGUCGAACGGUGAAGGGGUCUGCUUUUGUGGGCCCUGGAUGAGUGGCGAACGGGUGAGUAACACGUGAGUAACCUGCCCCCUUCGUCUGGAUAACCGCAUGAAAGUGUGGCUAAUACGGGAUAUUCUGGGUCUGUCGCAUGAUGGGUCUGGGAAAGGUUGCGCCUUUGGGUGUUUUUGGUGGUGGAUGGGGUCGCGGCGUAUCAGCUUGUUGGUGGGGUGAUGGGCUACCAGGGAGGUGGCGGGUAGCCGGCCUGCGAGGGUGGACGGUGACAGUGGGACUGAGCAACGGGCCAGAGUCCUACGGGAGGCAGCAGUGGGGAAGAUUGCACAAUGGGAGAAAGCCUGAUGCAGCGACGCCGCGUGCGGGAUGGAGGCCUUCGGGUUGUAAACCUCUUUCGCCAGUGACGCAGGCCUGCUCCUUGUGGGUGGGUUGACGGUAGCUGGAAAAGAAGCGCCGGCUAACUACGUG
Molecule: ribosomal RNA, 502 nt
Filed under: uncultured bacterium
Lineage: Bacteria
Description: partial 16S ribosomal RNA
Rfam family: Bacterial small subunit ribosomal RNA
Source: RNAcentral